This is a long non-coding RNA of Lotus japonicus, 1333 nucleotides long. RefSeq lists it as uncharacterized. Lineage: Eukaryota; Viridiplantae; Streptophyta; Magnoliopsida; Fabales; Fabaceae. The transcript has 3 exons. The record is from RefSeq and is a predicted model, not a curated record.
GACUUUUUCUGUUCGGAGCUUCAAACGAAGAUUCCACACGCGCGACCCAUUUCUUUCGAUGAUUCCAAUCUUUCUUCAGAAGGAAGUUUCUUCAUCCGACGUCAAACGCAAAAAGUAGUUUUGCGGCAUAUUUCAACCCAUACUACGUUCAAGCUAUUUUCUCACUUAAAUGAACCAGGAACAAGUAUCGACAUUUUAUAGAGAGAUACUUAACUCUGAUGCAUAAUAUGACAACUUCAUAUUUAUUCUGAUCGUCUCACAAAUAUUAUUUAGCUCAGUUUUUACUCAUUUCUUUGUCCAUGGAUCAUUUUAAUUUGCUCAAAGUGAUCCAAACUUAUAUUUCAUUAUUUCAUAGAGUCUCUCAUAAUUUUUGGUAUAGUAAUAUAUCAACUCUAUAUUUUUCUCUUAACUUUGUGAGCUAAAUUCUUCAGUGUCUAAAUCAAUUCGUACCGGUUUUAUAAAUAUCUUCCCUAAAUAUCUAAUAAUCCAUCCUCAUCCUCUGUGACUCACGUUCACUCCCUCCUUUUCUUUCAUUUGUCACGUUUCUUUCUUUCUCUUGCAGCAGACCAUAAUCUUUCUUUCUUAUUCUUCUUCUUCUCUAUUUCUAUAUAUAUAUAUAUCUUACCACUUGUUGCAACUCACGUUCUCUCUCUCAGAAGCAUCACCACCAGACUUCAAUAUUUAUUCAUUUCCUUUCUUUUUAUUUCUUUUGCUGCAGCUCCCCAAUUCUUUCCACUUAUUCUUCCUCUCUUUUCUUUCCCCUGGGCAGCAUAAAAAAACGCACAUCAUGGUCCCUUUUCCUCCCUCACGUGAUUCCACUCUUGUGCAGCACCAUCAUCUUCAUCUUCCAAUUUUAUGGGUACGAAGGACGAAAACGCCUUGCGACGAAGCUAAAGAAUAGAAGGAAGCGAGCCAACGCGGAAAACAAAGAUGUGAUAGGAUUGGAGUUGCAGUUUAGGAAGAAAAUUGGCUAAGAUGUCGUCGAUGGAUUCUUUCGUGAUUUUUCGUCAUUCGGGGAAGACCCGGAGCGAAAUGACUACUACUAAGCCUUUGACGUGGACCCGGACUUCAUGCAUGACCAGAUGAGAGUCGAUGAUGGAAGUAUGGGGGAUGGGUGUUUAGAGUCUACUAAGGGUGGGUGUUAGUGUCCUAGCUCUGACUUAUUCUUAUUUUUGGAGGGCUUGUGUUGCUGACACUUGACCUAUCAUUUUGGGGAUUGUACAUUUUGCCUAUGGGCGUUACACUUUUCUACUUUCCGUCACUGGAGGUUACUCGUGACGAGGUCGCUACUUUCAGCGGGGAAUGUUAUAUGUAUUGUGUAUUAGUUCUGUUA